AGGUUUCGUUCAUCGUUAGUUUCACAUCAUAUAUCAUAACGGUGAUGUUGGUCGGAGGAGGUAUAUAUCAUCGUGAGGUCAAGUUCACAUCCACACACGCAAACAUCUUAUAAACACGUCGUUGUGGAUCGAUCGACUAGCACCAACUAGGAGCCUCUUCAUCGAUCAGGCAUCAAAACCCGAUUGUCAUAAUGUAGGGCAUGGUUGUAUUACAACCGGCCCACGUAAGAUAAUGCCGAUAUAUAUUUGGCACUCUUAGGAUCAUUAGUCAGGGACAAGAAAGCAGGCCAGUUAGCUUCAGUGCAACCGAUGGGUAAAUGAUGAGGGCUCACUCAUCCUCCGUGCAAGCGAUGAGUCACGACAAGUCGGGAAAAAUGUGUUAUAUAAAAAUAAUAAGAGUACAUGAGGCAUGAUAAUUUUUAUGAAUUUAUGACAAUCAGACGUCAGUUCGUUCGCCUCUGAGCUAGACAUGUGCUUUCAAACCCCACCGCACAAGCCACACUCUGGUCAGUUGUUUCUAAUUCCCAUCGAUGUCGAAUCAUAUAUAGGUGUACGAGACCGUAACUAGACAAGUAACAUAGCGUCCUGUGUCGUAAGUAAGUGAUAUUCGAUCGACGUGAAUCGUAUAUAUACUACGAUUGGAACCGCGGGUUCUAACCCUACGGCCUGACGCUGUGUUCGACGCCGUUGCAUUCACACGGCAUGGGGAACCCGGAACCCGGCCUGGCGACGAUGGCCGGUCCGAAGUUGGAGUGGACGCUAGCUGAUGCCGUGCCGUGCCGACGACGAACUGUCGGUGCCCCGGAAGGUUCAGGAGCUGUAGAGGGAGGUCCUGUGGUGUGACGCGCAUUGGUCGAGGCAAAGACAGUAGGUUGAGGUUCGGUGGAGGUCUCUAGAAGAGAGGAAGGCAAAAUCACUAAUAAAGUGGUUGGCGCCCCUGCACAAGAUGAGUAACAGUCGGGCGUUGCUCGAGUAGGAGUAUCCCACAUUGCAGGGUCCCGGCCGAAACCUGGUCACGCUCUCCACGCUGCCGGGCCCUGGGUCUGAUUUUCCCCCGGGUAUCAUAUAUACGUCAUAUAUAUAAUAUAUCAUGCCUAAUCACCCCUUUUUUUCUUACUGAUUGCAGGUCGGGUCCAUCGAGACUCGGGUGGGUCGUUCGUCGUGCGUUGGUGGUGAUCCCGGACGGGUUGGUUCGGGUACGUUGUGUGCAACGGGACAGCAAGCGGACCUUAGGUCCCUCUGCGUGGCUGUGUCCUCGUGCCUCUGCGUAGCUGUGUCGUCGUGCGGCGGACUGCGGCUGUGGUCGCGUGGCGUGGCUUGGACCUCGACUCAAACCCCUAGUUUAGCCGUUCUUAAGCCCCUUCUCUAGUUGACUAGUUCUAGUAGUAAGUCUUCGUAUUAGUACAAUGGAUUUUUUGUAGAUAGACCGACACUCUUUUCUUUGUUGUUCUUUUCUCAUCUGUUCAACUAAUUUAGAGUCCUUCCGCGAUACCUAUACAAACAGAACUCCGGACCACGACGAUGUUUAAGUCUCGUUAAUAUAUAGUGUUUACCACUUCUUUUUGGACUACUAUGAUUCUUACGGUAACUCCUUUUAGUACAGCUAUUUUUAUUACGACGCCUUUUACUACGGCUAGUCGUGUGCCUUUUAAAAUCACUGGUACUCUUAGAACCUUUACGUCUACUCGUCCCAAGAAGAAAACUAUAUAUACUAGGAUCUUGAACCUUAUAAGAACUGUUAUUUAGUUCUCUAUAAGAGUAACUUUUUCCUGGAUAUUCCCUUAUGUUAGAACACAAAGGGCUUCUACUUUAAUCACCGUCCGUAAAAAGUAUACUAAUGAUGUGUUCUUUCAAUUCCUUACCGCUCAAGUCACUAGCCUCCACCAAUCACAUGAGAUUUGUACACUUAUUUCAGAUGACGAAAACAACGUUUAACAAAUUUAUACCUUUUUCGUUUUCAGACGAUCGUAGGCUCCCUAACUUCCUAACCUCUGUAGAAUCACUCUUCGAGUUUAACGUACUCUUAUCACAACUCGUAUAGUGAUUGUACUUAUGAACCUUACUCCAUUCCGACUCCGAUUCAUUCUUCCUUUGUUAACUAUUUCUGUACGUUGUUCUCUAACGUUCCCUCUUCCUCGCUACCUCUGAACAAAAUUAAUCUUAACAACGACGACACUUUAAAGAACGAUUUGUAUCAGACCGAAAAACUCCUAGCUUACUCUUUAAUAUAGUUCUAUUGUUGCCUUUAAAAAACCCUCAUUAACUUUACUACCGUCUUAAACUAGGACAUUACGUUCUCGUAGAAGCCGCGUAAUUCUUAUCACUUUAGGUAGUAGUAAUAGAACCGGUAUUAUAAGUCUUACUCAAUUAAAGGGAAGAACCAGCGUGACAAUUUAUAAGAGAUAACUCCUAUUAAUUCCUACGUUCCAUAAAGAGACAGUAGAACCUGACAUGUGGACUGCACUCGGUAGUUCUUGUUUACUGAGAUUAACACUCUACGCAUUUGUACAGUUCAUGAUGAUGUUUUUAUCUCCUCAAAAAAGACCUCAAGAACUUCCACCUACUAUGUAGGCCUGAACCUGAAAUAUUACACAAUUAUCUAAGUGAAUUUAGACAACCAAGCCUACAAUUUCUACAAGCACCUGUUCCCAUACUGUUACCAAGCUUGUACUUCCCUUUUGUGAUUCCCCAUGUCUCGUCUGAUGAACUUUGAUUAGGUUCUCGUAAUAAGUACGGUACGCGAACAGUAUCGGACUUGGAAUGAGAAUCACUAUACCGUUUUAGAACGCCAUUUCGACAAUGGAAGAAACCUCAACACGUUUCUUAAAUAUAUAACAAAAGUUCGAGAUGAUUUUCUACCGUCGAUAACGAACUAGUACAAGGUUUUUACUGUCAAUUCAGAAACACAUUGUGAGCUACCCUCUCAGCUUAUUUCUCACAAGUCCGAUAGUCUAUAGUUCGUGGGCUCAAUUCUUUUUGUAAUGACCUUAACUUCUGUUGAAGAUGGCUACUGCGGUUCUGAUUCUCCCUGCGUUUUAGAAACCGAUCGCGUGAACUCUUUAAACUUAAAAAUGAACCGUACCAGUAAACCGUACUGUAAAACAAGUGACAUUUGUACCACUCAUUCUUCAACGUCAGAUUCAAACACACGUAACUACAAUGAGAAUUUGUCUAACUUCCACGGUAGAGUAUAAAAUUCUUCAUGUCUUUACUGCCGAAACGUUGAUCAGACCUAUAACGCUCUAGAUAACGUUAACUGUACCCACAUGUUGGAAACAAAGGACAGUUCUCUGCAUAAUGAUCUUUUUCUGUCAUACUACUUUAAUCACCGUUACUGCUUUUAUUGGUCUUACUUCUUUGCGUUCGUUCACUCCACCUUAGUAAAUCUCAAUUUAUGAAAAACCACUACUAACUACAACGUUAACGAAGGGAUUGAUGAUCUAAACUCCUUGACUUCUGUAAACCCUCGUAUAAACCAAAGAACAAGUUGAGCUUUCUCAACUUCAGGAACCCAAUAUUACUAGAUUCUUCUACAACGUGAUUAAAACAGUUGUUUAAGUGAGUACCAUUCAGUCGU
Molecule: ribosomal RNA, 3577 nt
Filed under: Triticum aestivum (bread wheat)
Lineage: Eukaryota; Viridiplantae; Streptophyta; Magnoliopsida; Poales; Poaceae
Description: partial small subunit ribosomal RNA
Source: RNAcentral